GUGCACCAGGCGAGAAUCCUCUGCAAUACACGAAAGUGUGACGGGCCAUCCCGAGUGCCGUCCGCUGAGGACGGCUUUUCCCCAGUGUACACAGCUGGGGGAAUAAGGAGAGGGCAAGCCUGGUGUCAGCCGCCGCGGUAAUACCAGCUCUCCGAGUGGUGGGGACGCUUAUUGGGCCUAAAGCAUCCGUAGCCGGCUGGGCAAGUCCUCCGUUAAAUCCAACGAUUCAAUCGUUGGGCUGCGGGGGAUACUGUCCAGC
This 259-nucleotide ribosomal RNA is filed under the name uncultured microorganism. Its description in RNAcentral is "partial 16S ribosomal RNA". It matches the Rfam family "Archaeal small subunit ribosomal RNA", at positions 330 to 592 of the family's 1478-position model. The record is from RNAcentral.